Vespula vulgaris is the source of this 9156-nucleotide long non-coding RNA. RefSeq lists it as uncharacterized. Lineage: Eukaryota; Metazoa; Arthropoda; Insecta; Hymenoptera; Vespidae. The record is from RefSeq and is a predicted model, not a curated record. The transcript is spliced from 5 exons.
GUAGAGUUCGCAAUAUUAUGGAAAUCGCUUAAUCGGCAAAGUACAUAUUUAAAUUUGACUUUGAAAUAACAACAAAGCAGUCAAAGUCCUUUAUGCUAUUGCGCACGUAAAAUAGGAUGAGGACGCGAGGGGAGGGGUCACUUGAACGUAAACGAAGUUAGUUUCUCAUUAUCGAUCGGGCGGUGUGGAUCGUUAUUUUGUACGGUCCAAUAAAUUAUCUCCGGCUUGUAGGCUAAUGUAUUAAUACAAAUUAAUCCGAAGAGAGACAUUAACGUACCUAGAUAUUACCGUCGUGUGGUAUAUAUAAUUAUUAUUAAAUAAUGUGUUGGUUACUACAAGAAGAAUCGAGAAUAAUUUUAUUGCGCGUAUCGUUAAUUCUUCGAAAAUAUAACUUUCGUCAGGAUCGAUGAGCCGAGCUGAAUUUUUUUCGAUAAACCCUCAUCGUGCGCGUGGGAGAUAUGUCGGAACAUCACGGUACAUCGCUUUUUUAGUCGACAAAGCUUUGUGGAACUUCGUUAAUGAGAGCAAACAGAAAAUUCGGAUUUGAAAAGGAUGCUUUCAAAGGAGACUACCAGGAGGCUGUGGUUGGACUAAUUAUAUUCUCGAGAAGGAUGAAGUGUUCUUCGACGUGUUCGUGAACGUUUGAAAAAAACUAGAAGAGAUGAUAGAGUAGAAGAGGAGGUGGAAGAGAAGGACGUUUCGUGGUUCUAGUUGGCGGGUUUAUUAAUUAAGCAACGGUUACGUGCAACCAAGGCGAUUAACUUUUCUUAUCAGCGAAGAAGAAAAAGCUUGGCCGAUCGGAUUUCCCGAGCACGAAAAGCACCCACGAGCUUUUUUCUCCUCUCAGUAGUAGGAUAACCAUCGAGCUCGUUAUAUACACGAGUCAGGCUGCUGACUCACCCUGCUGGUGUAUGGCUCAGGAGUCAAGCUUUCGGAAGCAACAACGCGAGCGAACAUGGAAGGAGAGAGAGAGAGAGAGAGAGAGAGAGAGAGAGAGAGAGAGAGAGAGAAAGAGAAAGAGAGAGAGAGAGAGAGAGAGAGAGAGAGAGAGAAGGAGCUUUAUUAAUUAUUAAAACAGACUCUAAAAUUAUUUGAUACGGCCUCGUUCGUCCGCUAGUACGAAGGGUGAGAGAGAAAGAGAGAUAGAUAGACAGAGAGAGAGAAAGAGAGACAGAGAGAGAACUGCGCUUGGUGGCUGAAAGUAAAGCGGCGAGGCUAGCUCGCGCGCCACGUAUGAAUUUCGCGCGCUGCAUUAUUCAGCGGUCGGUUUGCAUAACAAUUAUGGCCGGGAUUUUAGCAUAGAGAGAACGGCCGUGCGACGCCUCGUCGGUGCAAACCAGGUACACGAACAAAAGUACGCCUUCUCUAUUUCCACCCCCUUCAUCCCUUCCUCUCUUUCACUAUAUUUCUCUCUCUCUCUCUCUCUCUCUUUCUUUCUGCUUCUCUUUCUCUUUCUCGUUCUUGCUGUCUCUUAUUCUCUUGAUAUUCGUCGGAGAAACCGAAAGAACGACGGUAACCGAACGUCGCUUUUCUUCCUCGUUUGCAAUUCCAUUUUUCAUUCGUCCUUCGGAGCUCGUCCACAAGAAUCUUUCUUUUUAUCUUUUUCUCUUUCUUUCUUAUUCUUUCUCUCUCUCUCUCUCUCUCUCUCUCUCUCUCUCUCUCUCUCCUUUUCUUUCUCCUCUCUCCUACGUCGUAGAGUGCUUCUGGAUCGUAGUUAAGGGUGGUACUUAAGGGUCGAGCCGUGCUUCCUCGAACGGUGCUGGAUACACCAACGUAAAAGUAAAUCCAUGCCACGAAAGCGAACAUUCUUUUCCUCUUUUAUCCUCUUUCUCUCUCUCUCUCUCUCUCUACUUUUCUUUUCUUUCCUUUUCUUUCCCUUCUCCCUUUUUUGUUUCUUCCAAUUUUUUUUGUCUUUCUCUUCCUUUUUUUCUUCCUCUUUUCUUCUUCUUCUUCUUCUUUUUUUCUCUCUUUUUUUUUUCCUUUUUUUUUUUUAAGAGGACCAUGCAAAUGAGAUUGAAUCUGUGAAGCGGUCGGUCCAUCCUCGACUACGUUCACGUUUUGUUCCGCAUUUUUAACCGGACUCGUAACGAAAUGAAAUGGAAGUUCACGAGAACCUACGUAGAAUCCCUUCUUCUUUCCCUCCCCCCACCCCUCCUUUUCUCUAUUAAUUCCGAAUGAUUUUUAAAGGAUCGACGAUUAAACGCGUUUAUUUCGAUAGGAAAUAUCCGAAUUGAAAUGUAUUUAACAUUGAUAUCUGUGUUCUGUUGUUCUUGUUAAUAUACAUUUAAUAUUAUUCAUUGAUAUAACACGUUGGAUAUAACACGUAGAGUAUAUUACGUAUUACAUAGAAUAUUAUUAUCACUGCGUUCAUCGUUCAUCCUGUUGGGAGACAAUAAUUUAUAGCGAUGGCUUUAUAGAUCCUGUCCGAAAGGUGUCCUGUCUGUCUGACCAAGCGUAGUCUCUAACUACUGCGAAGGAGCAAAACGGGGGUGGUUUGAGGGGGUGAGAUAGAGGGCGAGUAACAAGCAAGCACCGAAUUACAUUCCACGCACAACCAACCCCUUUCUCCGGACGAGGCAACCUCGAACGAGAGACGGUGGUGGCAGUAGUGUGAUAAGCGUUUGUUCAUACCGUGCCACUGGCUGACUGUUUAGUCGUACGUACGUGACACACGUGUCCAAGCAAGGUGACAGCCUCCGCAAGCGGAAAUGGAUGUGCCUAGUAAAGGGCCAGACUCACGAAUCCCACGUAGCUGCUACUUAAUUACGGGUUGUACUUGUAGUUUGGCAGUUUGCGUCACGUAUAGAAUUGGAGUAUACUUCUGUGUUACUUGUACGAAACAGAGAAUAUCGUCUUGAUUGGACAUCCUUCGAUCUUUACUAAUUACGUAGGAAUAAAUAUAUUCUAUAACAAGAGGAAGUUGAACGUCAACUUUUUUUUCUUGUAAUUACAGUUCUUUUAUUUUUCUUUUUCUUUUUUUUUUUUUCUUGUUUUUUUUUUCAUGCUCGAGAAAGACGUUCAUUCUUUGUUAAGUUUUAAUUGACUACUUGAUUUCUCGGAACAGUAACGAAUCUUGUCGGUUCUUUUCUUUUUCUUUUUCUUUUUCUUUUUCUUUCUCUUUUUCGUGAAACGAUUUUCUUCAAUUCGAUUUCGAUCAAAACGAUGUUUCCUCUUCGAGCAAUUCGUAAACGCAUCGGUAAUGAUAGAGACAAGUCCGAAGUAAACUCCAAAUUAUUUUUCAUAUUUUCACGAAUUGGCUUGGAUUUCUCUUGGUUUCGUUCUUUUUGUCCGAGCAUCCGAUAGAGCUAUAGCACUUCAUGCAACGAAGACAUUCCUCGAUCGAUCUGUCAACGACAAAAUCUCAUUCCUCUUCGCUGCCAACCCGUUCGGAAAAGAAAAGCUCCGUAGAACUUCAUCUUCGCGCGAAUCCGGACAAAACUUUAAGACCUUGUGGAAAACAAAAAUGAGAAGAAGAAGAAGAAGAAGAAGAAGAAGAAGAAGAACAAGAACAAGAAGAAGAAGAAGAUCCUUGCAUAAGCCGUUACGUCUUCGAACUCGUUAUUUCGAAGCAUCCCUUUUCUUAUCUUCGUUGUGGAUGUUCGAACCUCUUAGCAGCAGCCUAUCGGUGAAAUGCGAGUAAUCAGACCAUUAUGAAGAUUCCAGAAGGUUCCCUCUCAUCAGCAGACGGCAUCACUUCGGUCCUAUCUAGAGAAAGAGAGAGAAAUAUAUAUAUAUAUAUAUAUAUAUAUAUAUAUAUUACGAGAGUAAAAGAGAGAGAGAGAGGGGGGGGGAGGGCGGGAAGGAAUGGGUGGCUCGCCUCAAUGGAACCAAUUAAUUUCCCUCGCACCCGGAAACGCAUCACGGUGAUCCGGUUGGUGCAUUGAAAUAGAGGUGAGUAGAGGGAAUGGAGAAGGUAGUGAUGGUACAUUGGUGAUUGCAACUACGUAAUAGUAGCUGUAGUGGUGAUGGUAAUGGUGGUGAUGGUGGUGGUGGUGGUGGUGUUGGUGAUGGUGAGUGUCACCAGUAGAGAACUUUCCGAGGACGAAUAAGUUUUAAUUACGCGCGGUCAAAGGUGGCACGAGCCACGUCGGAAAUUUCAUUAACCGCCAGCGCUAUCUGCGACUUCCGCUUCUCGACGGAGCUUCGCUAAUUUCAGCAAGGAAGAGAAGGGAAGGGAAGGGAAGGGUGAAUGAUGGUUGCGGUGAUGGUGACUGGGGAAUGAAAAAGAAGAAGAAGAGUACGAUGGAAAAACGAGGGUGGAAGGAAGAGAGCGGUUUGUUUGCUUCCUCGGUUGGAAGAAAAGCAGGGAAUCUCUAUGAAGAAGAAGUUAAGAUCGAAAAGGAAUCUUUCUUAAGCAGGUGCCGCUUGAAUUUAUCUUGGAAGGAGGGAGACAGAAUUUCAUCAAGGCCACGCUGUGACCGAGCUCGUAAACGAAAGAUACGAGCGCGUACCUUCUCGCGGUUUAUCGUCAGAACUUUUCGUACGCUCAAGGAAUAUUGCGUUUCGACUUUUAACGGCUUCUCGAGAGAGAGAGAGAGAGAGAGAGAGAGAGAGAGAGAGAAAAGAAAGGUCGAUGAACGAAUACGGAGAGGGUAGGAUCUGAUAUAUUCUUUCAAAGAGACGUUGAACGUUUGUAAAGUCUCCCUUCGUACGUCUGUGUAUAUGUCUGUAUGUCCGUGAAACUCGCAUUUAUUAUCGAACGGAGUUUGGUCGAUUCCGACUAUUUCUAUCUCACUCGCGUACACCGAGAGCUAUUUCGGCCAUACGCUCUCGACCGAGCGUAAACAGUCGGCCGAAAUCAAACGAGCUCGUUUAACCCUUAAUCACAGACGCCGCUUCUGUCUGCAUACUUGUGCUCGCAUAUCUCUCCAAGUAGGCCACUUAAAAUGCGCAUAUAUAAUAAAGGACCCUUCUACACAGUGAUCGUGAUAGUGUUCGUGGUGUUAGUGCUUGGGUGAUGGUGGUUGAGAGUUAACUCUAAACGGCCACGGGUAAUACCGAUCUCUCUGUGCGUAAUUAUCGAGAGUGUUCUCACGGAAAGAGACUAAUAUUUUCGAUCGCGUUUAAUGGAAUUACGGCGAAGAUUCUAAUCGAAAAUAAUUCUUCUUUUACCUUCAAGUUUACGAAUGGUAGAGGAAUCAUUUUCUAACGUUUAUAUAUAUUUCGAAGAAACAAAUGAUAGAAGAAAGGAUUGUUGCGUUGAAACGAUUCGAAACGAGUUGUUUUAAAAACUAUCCUCGAUCGUUCAUAAAACGAUAUUUGUCGUAAAAAAAAAAAAAUAAGAUAACGCACGAAGAGAAUUUUGACGGGGUGAUUGUACGCGAUGGUGAAAGAAAAAAGAAAAAGAAGAAAAAAGAGGAAAACGAAAGAAAGAAAUUCUUUUUCUUUUUUCUGUUUCUUUUUUUUUUUUUUUUGAAGAGAGUUUACGAAGCACUCUCAUGAAAAGGGCUGUAGCGGUAACAGCGAGCACGAUUUUAUCACUUAGAAAGUGGCGAACGCGUGAAAGUUUCGGAUUCUCCCAAAAAUUUCCAUUUUUAGUAUCGGGUCAGAUAUGUGUGAACCUUUCGUCCUCCUCGUUCUUUUUCUCCCCUUCUUUUUCCCCUUUCUUUCUUUCUUUCUUUCUUCUUCUUCUUCUUCGUGACGCCACAGGCAAUGCGAGCUUUCGCAGAAGAGAUAUCGAAAGAUUUGAAGGAGUCUCGGUGGAUUGUUUGAAAAAGGAUUUUCCGUAGAGACAGAUCAUAUCAAUGAAAAGAGAAGGGAGAAGGGAAAAAAACGAGGGAGAGAGAAACAAUAGAGGAUGAAAAGAAAGAGAGAAAAAAAAGGAUGAAGAAAAAGAGAAGAAGAAGAAAAAGUAAAAUGGUCUGCGAGUAUGGACGAGAAAUAUUUACGAAAGCCAUCGGGAUCUCGUCCAACUCGACUUCUCCUUUUUCGAGGAACGCCUUCGAUUUAUUAUAAGGAGAGCCUGGAGGAACGAAGAAUGAGGAGGGAAGAAGAGAGUGCCGGGAAAAGAGAUUAACGAUCGUCUUGGAUCAUAAAUUUCGUGUCGUGCUAGCUACGAAACGAAAGCUUGCGUUCCCGUCCUAACGAAUGAUAAUUUGUGCGAGAAAGUUAAGUGCGAUUUACCUAAAGAAAAAAGACGGAAGGACUUGAGGUGACGUACUAACGACAAAAAGACGAUAUCUUGCAAAAUUUUUCUUUUUUCUUUUUUCUUUUUCCUUUUUUUUUUCUUUUGUUUUCUUAAUUUCGUUUCAAUUACAAAUCGUCAGCCAUCGUUCCUAUUCGUGAUUGUAUAUUCGAAGCAAUAUAUUCACGUGUAUUGUAUAGAAGAUAAACACAUACAUUGUAUAGAAUAAUUUUAAGGAUGACCGUACUUCUUUCUAUUAUCUCUCUUUACACAAUACAUAAAUACGUACACACACGAUAUAGAAAUAUAUCGAAGAUCAGGCAAUACAUUUACAUUAUACUUUCCGUUAUAAUCCUUUUUCUUUCUUUUGUAAAUAUUGAAACUAAUACAUCGAGAUCAUCGCAAUAUACUUUAUCUUAUAUUUACUAAGCGUAACGAAAGAGAAUCAAUCGGACAGUAUCAUUUCAGCUUUGAUAAAAAUCUCGAUAUUUUUCAAACGUAACUAAAGAUAAAAUACUCAGUCUAAGAAAUAGCAAGACUUUCUUUAAAAUCAUUUAUCAUUCCCGGUCAUCUUAUCUCGAAACAGUCUUGGAUCCUUGGAAAUUUCAGUGAGCGUAGUUAUUUUCAAUAAUCGCGACUUUACAACGAUGUCGAGGAUUUGAAUAUUUUAUAAAUGGAUUUGCAAGGCAAAUCUAUUUAUGAAAGACGAAGACGCUUGAAAAGGUGCAAACGAGGUGAGAAAAGCGUAGGUACCCUCCUAAUUUUGCGAUUCUCUUCACGAAGUACUCAGGAGAGAAAGAGAUCUAUAAGCAACAGUGUCAGGAAAGUUGAUAGUGGUAGAAAGGACUCUCUAAAGAUGGCUUCGGUAGGACGAAGGAAACUAGAGAAAUUCUCUUCCCUAGUCAAAUAAACUCUCGUCUUGUCCCGGUAGCCUCAUAAAGUAGAGUCGGCCUGCACGUGUCCGCCUUCUACAUAAAAGCAUGCGCGUAUAAGCGUAUACUAGCUCAUCCACUCGUUUGCGUUGCUAGUCGGACCGGCAAAAUUCACUUCCAAAGACAUUUCAACCUCCAGGUGCACGUGAGACAUACCCGGAUGAGUAUAUAUACGUAUAUAUAUGUAUAUAUAGUAUGUAUAUAUAGUAUGUAUAUAUAUAUAUCUAUGUAUUUACGUAUACCCAUAUAUAACACACAUACACAUAUAUCAUAUAUAUAUAUGCACUAGACGUAGCUGUUCUUGUGACUUCGCGUUUGCUAGAAUUCUGUCUGUAUGUCUGUCUGUCUGUGUCGGUGUCUCUCUAUUUCAUUCAGUUCUACAUUAUGAAAUAAAUAAUCAAAAAUCUACCUCAUUUAUAAACUACUUCGCAUUCUAUUAGAUUUUAAAAACCUUCCAAAUUAUUCCAUAUAAUUCGUUAUCAGAUUUCUACUUUACGAAAUGAAAUUGAUUAAAAUGAAGUACUAAUGGAUCUAAUAUAUUUCAUAUCUGAGGAGUUAAUUUUGAGAUAUUACAUAUUUAAUUAAACUUCGUAUGUUAGAUGUAGCAAUUGAUGUGAGGAUUUUCUACGAGUUAACUCCUGAAUAAAAUACGCAUUUACGUCCAUCCAUCUCUCUCUCUCUCUCUCUCUCUCUCUCUCUCUCUUUCUCUCUCUCUUUUCGACUUCUCUUCCGACGUUACAUAUUCACCUUCCAAAUAUUACCAGGAUAGGAGUUACGGAUAACUCGUAACUCCUGCCUCGGAGCAACUGCCUUCCGACAACCCUCCCCCUCCCUCCCCCUCCCACUCUGCUUCUACAACCCUUCCGUCCGCGACCUUUCCAACGUUUGAUAUAUUACGUUGACGUGGUGGCGUUGGUUCGCCCAUACACCAACCAAAAUGAAUUGAGAUAAAGCAGAAAGAAAUUUAGUGGCGUUGGGACGCCGUUCCCCGAGCUAUACCACCACCGUUACCUCUAGCAACCCUCUUAAAACAAACUUUCUUCGAGGAAUAUGGGCAAAAGAGAAAAAGAAAAAGAAAAAAAAUGAGAGAAUCGCGCUCCCGAUUAAUUUUUAAACGUGGCUCGAAGUAAUAGUCGAAAAAUGAACGCGGGAAAAAUCUCGAGAAUAUCGUCGACUUGUCCGGUAAAACGGAAAAGAGGAGGGGGUGGAGAAGGAGGAGGGGGUGGUAAAGGCGUCGCGUGAGCGCGAUUAAAAAUCGUCGACAUUAAUUUCGCGUCGGACGUGGAGAGACCCCAGGUUGAGCAACAAUAUACAGGGUGUUUCAUUAACCUUGAUCGUUUAGCACUUUCAUUAUCCGUGCUACAAUGUGAUCCGUAAUGUGGAAGAUGAAAAUGGUUUCUUUCGAAGAACGAAUGUACUUUUUCUCUGGUUUCUUCUUGUUUUUCGUUCUUUUUUUUUUUUGUUCAAGGAUAGCAUAUCCUUCUCGAAUAUUUCAUUGUACGAUGGUGAGAGACAGAAAAAGAGAAAAAGAGAGAGGGAGAAUGAUCAAGUCGAGUGGAACACCCAGUACACGUAUACAUAUCUAUCCAUCUCUCUCUCUCUCUUUCUUUCAACAGCAUUCGUAUUUCAUCUUCAGACGCGUGCUAAUGUUUCGUGGAAAAGACGCAAGCGUGCUCCCCUCAUCCCUUCCUUCUAUCAUCCCUUUCUUUCUUCCUCCUUCCCUCAGCUUCCUUUUUCACUGGCAGAUAGCCGUGCGGGCGUUGAAUGCAGGCGCGAACGAACGAUAUGAGCGAACGACUCCCUUAAGGCGCUUUUUAUCGUGCUCGCGAGCGCGUUCCGAAUGGCUUGGCAGUUCGAAUCUUGCACCGUUCUUGGUACACGCCUUGAGGCGUGCUUUAGCUUGUGUAUAUGUAAUAUAUAUCUGUAAAUGUGUGUGUGUGUGUGUGUGUGUAUAUAUAUAUACACAUAUAUAUGUGUGUAUUUCUCUCUCUCUUUCUCUCUGUGUGUGUGUGUGUGUGUACGCGCAUAUUUAUAUGUGUAGGAGAGAAACCUGAACGGAAGAAAAGGGAUGACGAUAGUAGUAAGAUAAGAAUUUACGUG